AAACACGUAGUUUUCCAUUCUUUUUAUACAUAGGGACAAUAUUAGAAAUUCACUCGGCAUAUUGACAUUACCGAAUAAACCCUGAUUCAAUCAAUCUUGUGAUUUUGGCCUUUAUAUCAGGUAGAAUUUUAGAAUUACAACAUCACGUGGGCUGCUGAUACGGCCGAUACCCUGGUUUUAUGGGCAACUGAUGUUUGACAAUUGAUCAGUCUAGACCAGGCAUUUCAUGAUACUCCCAAGAAAAGCAAUCUUUAAACUCCCUUAAUAAAUAUACUAACCCACGCUUAUACUCAGGAUCUAAUUUAGUACUAAUAUACGUUGGCCUUGGCUUGCUACAAUCUCCCAGGUCUACCAUCUCUAAUGAAUCGACC
Molecule: long non-coding RNA, 371 nt
Filed under: Setaria viridis
Lineage: Eukaryota; Viridiplantae; Streptophyta; Magnoliopsida; Poales; Poaceae
Description: long non-coding RNA (SVIR_LNC005504)
Source: RNAcentral